GAUGAAGAACGUAGCGAAAUGCGAUACUUGGUGUGAAUUGCAGAAUCCCGUGAACCAUCGAGUCUUUGAACGCAAGUUGCGCCCGAAGCCAUCAGGUUGAGGGCACGUCUGCCUGGGCGUCACAUAUCGUUGCCCAAUGCCUAUUGCAGUGCAAUAGGAAUUUCUAGGGCGAAUGAUGGCUUCCCGUGAGCGUUGUUGCCUCGCGGUUGGUUGAAAAUCGAGUCCUUGGUAGGGUGUGCCAUGGUAGAUGGUGGUCGAGUUAGAACGAUACCGAUCAUGUGCAUGCUCCCCAAAAUAUGGCCUCUAUGACCCACACGCGUCUUUUGACGCUCAUCACGAGACCUCAGGUCAGGCGGGGCUACCCGCUGAAUUUAAGCAUAUCAAUAAGCGGAGGA
This 395-nucleotide unclassified non-coding RNA is filed under the name soil metagenome. RNAcentral describes it as "partial contains 5.8S ribosomal RNA, internal transcribed spacer 2, and large subunit ribosomal RNA". The stretch from base 1 to 122 matches the Rfam family "5.8S ribosomal RNA", at positions 35 to 154 of the family's 154-position model. The record is from RNAcentral.